CUCCGUUAGACCCUCCCCCCAGGCCCGGCUCCCUCUGCGCAUGGCAGGCCCAGAUCAGCAGCUCUGAUCCAGAUUUCAGAGCAGGGGAUUGUGGAAGACAUAGAGACUUAGCUCCAGCCAAGCUCCGCUAUCUUCCUAGCAGAAAACCUUCAAGGAGCCUCACAUUUUCCAUCUGAAGCUAGAGAGAAUAACUGCCCUGCCUCACUCCCAUGUCAGAGGAACUAUGACUUAUAGCAAUUUGUAAGCAGAAUUGAAGCAUUUACCUUUUUCUCCCUAUCUGAUCCCUCCAGAAUUUGAAAACUCUUGAUGAAUGAUCCAAAAGACCCAGAGAGAAUUCAAAUUAAAGAACCAGACAUGCUCAGAUGUUCCUCUGCAUCAUCUCUAUAGUGGAGACUGAAUCCUAUUAAAAUACCGGAAACACAAGCACCCGGAAGAUCAAUUUCAUCUCUGCUGAAUGGGACCAUACAAGCAAUGCCACAGGAAACAGGAAUCAUGCCAUAGAAGAACAUCGCAACAGGAUCACCCAAACCUUGGCUGGCUUCAUACUCUACACACUGACUUCUCCAAAUGGACGAGUGAACCUCUAAUAGAUCUCAAGUUGCUGUACAGAAGAUGGUCCCCUAAAAGUACGUAAUGAAUGACCCCCACAUUCUUACCUUACUUGUUGGACUAUUAGACAGCCGGCUAUUUGUCUACAUUGGAUUUCACCUGAGGUUCCAGGCCCUAACCUUGGUUGGUUUACAGGCUUCUUCUCCUCAGUUCCCCAAGGAUUAAUAUCCAUUAUGGAGGGGAUACUAAAAUUUGGGCUGUGAUUUUGCUAAUACGUGUGGUUGUCUAUGUAAUUAUAAAAUGUGGACUUAAGUGUUCUUCCAAAACCAUUGAUCAGAAUACUAAAAUAUUAGUCACGCAGGACAUACCUUGCUCUCCUCUGCCUGGUACCCAAGAAUAUUUUUUUAAUAAAGAUUUUAUUUUUUUCCUUUUUCUCCCCAAAGCCCCCCCAGUACAUAGUUGUAUAUUCUUAGUUGUGGGUCCUUCUAGUUUGGCAUGUGGGACGCUGUCUCAUGUGGUUUAUAUGAGCAAUGCCAUGUCCGCACACAGGAUUUGAACCAACGAAACACUGGGGUGCCUGCAGCAGAGCACGCGAACUUAACCACUUGGCCACGGGGCCAGCCCCCCAAGAAUAUUUUUAAAGUAAAGGUAGAACAAUUUCAUUCCUCUGACCUGGAACUUCACCCUUUCACAGCAGGAAGCAGCUGGAGCGGUCUUCAUCCCCAUUCCCCAAGAUUGACGAAUGAUCAAAAGAGAAGGGGGAUUGAAACUGAAGAUGAAGGAGUUAAAAUUUCCCUGGAUUAGGGUGAAACUGUGCCUUGUACCCACAAGGUUAACAUGGGAAACAAAAUAACCAAAGUUUCUGAGCUUGCCUUGCAGAACAGCAGGAGGACCACUGAUAAGAGAGGAACUUGCUGACAGCCCCCUGCCUGACUAAGCAUCUUGGAGGAACAUUGAGAAGCUAAAAUGACUGAUUGCAAACUUUAGAUAUCAAAGACUAAAGACUAAAAAGCCACCACUUGAAACAUGUAGAACAGACAGUCACACCUGUGCAGAGGACACUUAGAACUUCAGCCCAGAAGGCCACAUGCCCCCCUCCCCUACCUAAAACCCCAAACAAAAACUCUUGCUUGUAGCUUUUUGGAAGUUCAAAAUUACAGUGUUAGCUGCCCAUUCCCCUUGCUCAGUGUUUUGCAAUA
This 1748-nucleotide long non-coding RNA is filed under the name Equus asinus (donkey). RNAcentral's name for it is "lncRNA (ENSEASG00005033952.1)". Lineage: Eukaryota; Metazoa; Chordata; Mammalia; Perissodactyla; Equidae. The record is from RNAcentral.